CAACCCUCAAGCUCUGCUUGGUGUUGGGCCCAGCCCGUCGCGGCCGGCCCCAAAGACAGUGGCGGCGCCGUCGGGCCCUAAGCGUAGUACAUCUCUCGCUCUAGGGCCCCGCGGUGGCUUGCCAGCAACCCCAACUCCUAU
This 141-nucleotide unclassified non-coding RNA is filed under the name Oidiodendron periconioides. RNAcentral's name for it is "partial internal transcribed spacer 2". Lineage: Eukaryota; Fungi; Ascomycota; Leotiomycetes; Myxotrichaceae. RNAcentral also lists the same sequence under 1 other name. The record is from RNAcentral.